UACGUAGGGGGCUAGCGUUGUCCGGAAUCAUUGGGCGUAAAGCGCGUGUAGGCGGCUCGGUAAGUCCGCUGUGAAAGUCGGGGGCUCAACCCUCGGAUGCCGGUGGAUACUGUCGGGCUAGAGUACGGAAGAGGCGAGUGGAAUUCCUGGUGUAGCGGUGAAAUGCGUAGAUAUCUGGAGGAACACCGGUGGCGAAGGCGGCAUCCUGGACCAACACUGACACUGAGGAGCGAAAGCCAGGGGAGCAAACGGG
RNAcentral lists this ribosomal RNA (253 nucleotides) under uncultured bacterium. RNAcentral describes it as "partial 16S ribosomal RNA". It matches the Rfam family "Bacterial small subunit ribosomal RNA", at positions 524 to 776 of the family's 1533-position model. The record is from RNAcentral.